Molecule: ribosomal RNA, 253 nt
Filed under: uncultured bacterium
Lineage: Bacteria
Description: partial 16S ribosomal RNA
Rfam family: Bacterial small subunit ribosomal RNA
Source: RNAcentral
UACGGAGGGUGCAAGCGUUAUCCGGAUUCACUGGGCUUAAAGGGUGCGUAGGUGGUCAGGUAAGUCAGUGGUGAAAUCUCCGGGCUUAACCCGGAAACUGCCAUUGAUACUAUCAGUCUUGAAUACCGUGGAGGUAAGCGGAAUAUGUCAUGUAGCGGUGAAAUGCUUAGAUAUGACAUAGAACACCAAUUGCGAAGGCAGCUUACUACCCGAAUAUUGACACUGAGGCACGAAAGCGUGGGGAGCGAACAGG